UAUCUACACACCACCUUACAGUGUUAGAAUAUUCUGAGGUGGAAAUGGUGGCUCAUACUUGGAAUCCCAGAACUUUGGGAAGCCAAGGGUGGAGGAUCACUUGAGCCCAGGAGUUUGAGACAAGUCUGUGCAAUGGGAAUUCUUAAGAUUGUAUUCUCUCAGUUCUGCAAAGCCAGGCCAGGUGCUGAGAACCUCCUGUUUGUCUUCUCCGGGAGCAGUUCCCUAAAAUACUCAAGAUUCUGUGCCUUCUUCCAAUUCUGCAGAGUUGAGCCAGCUGCCAGCAUGAGACACUUGUACUUGUCAUCCAUAACGGCUUGCUCAGAGAGCUGUCCUAUGGGGGGAUGAAGCACAGAGAGUGUUUGGGGUGUCCAUGGGUCAGCUAGGGGGAGGAGGUCCAAGGAUGAGGUAUCCUGAGAAGCUCAUGGGCAGGCUUCCUGAUGCAGUCCACAGAGAGAAUUCCCUUCCUUGCCUCCAUCUUCACCCCAUCAUUCAGCUGGGCUGAUCACCUAAGAGUUCUAGGAAAGGCAAGAAAAAGUACAUCUCUUGGACAGUAUCCAGCAUGGCUGGAGAAGCUAGGUUCUCACCCAUUACACUCUCACUUUCUCUUGGGGGAGAAAUCAUGGGCUGAGGAGGUCUCUCUUGGCACUAACUUAUACCACCUUGGGUGGGUGAUGCAGGUAAAGUGCAACUGUUUUUCUUACCCACUUCAUGCAUCUUGGACUUUUUGCUCUAACAGUGUGUAGCAACUUCUCUGCUGAACUCCCAGACUCCCACAGAGUUACUCUCACCCGUGGGUAGUUGACAAAAAUUGAUUCUUUACAGGGGAGAGAUGUUAGAAAACUCCUAUUCUGCCAUCUUGCUCUAGUGAAGAAAUUUGUGGCUCAAAAAUGUGAACUUAUGGUUCACAGGCCCUUACUCCUCAACACUACUACUUAGAUAAAAUUAUCAGAGUGAAAAAAAUAAGUAAAAUAAAGUCAUAACAAUAAACAGAAGGCAGAUUUCAACAUUUCUGAGAAAAAAAAGAAAACAGAUAUAAGCAUCUUUAUGGAGGUGAAAACUCUUUCCCAGAGUUUCUUCAGGAAUAAUAAUAACAAAUCUAUGCAUUGAAACCUGGAAGGGAUCUGGGCUUAGAGUUAGUAGGUUUGAGGGAAGGCAGGGAUAAGAAGGGCAACUUAACACAGUGCUUUUGCGAACUGCAUUUGGAGCAGCUGAACCAACAGAAGUCUUCUCCAUCCCCUUCUCUUUUCUCACAGAAGUACAACAGGUAUUUGUACUCAAGCAGUGUGGAAUAAUUUGUACUCAAGCAGUGUGGGAAGCCUUUUCUUAAAUAAUUAAAAGAACUCUCUGGGGAAAGCAAAGAUUCCCAUUCCCCAUAAUAAAGC
This 1382-nucleotide long non-coding RNA is filed under the name Homo sapiens (human). RNAcentral's name for it is "HSALNT0187770". Lineage: Eukaryota; Metazoa; Chordata; Mammalia; Primates; Hominidae. The record is from RNAcentral.